Molecule: ribosomal RNA, 435 nt
Filed under: uncultured bacterium
Lineage: Bacteria
Description: partial 16S ribosomal RNA
Rfam family: Bacterial small subunit ribosomal RNA
Source: RNAcentral
GAUGAACGCUGGCGGUAUGCUUAACACAUGCCAGUCGAACGGACUCUUCGGAGUUAGUGGCGGACGGGUGAGUAACGCGUGAGAAUCUGGCUUUGGGUUCGGGACAACCACUGGAAACGGUGGCUAAUACCGGAUGUGCCGAGAGGUAAAAGAGAAAUUGCCUGAAGAUGAGCUCGCGUCCGAUUAGCUAGUUGGUGAGGUAAAGGCUCACCAAGGCAGCGAUCAGUAGCUGGUCUGAGAGGAUGACCAGCCACACUGGGACUGAGACACGGCCCAGACUCCUACGGGAGGCAGCAGUGGGGAAUUUUCCGCAAUGGGCGAAAGCCUGACGGAGCAAUACCGCGUGAGGGAAGAAGGCUCUUGGGUUGUAAACCUCUUUUCUUAGGGAAGAACAAAAUGACGGUACCUAAGGAAUCAGCAUCGGCUAACUCCGUG